GCCCUAGUAGCUUAAUACUUAAAGCACCGGUCUUGUAAUCCGGAGACUGAAGGUUAAAAUCCUUCCUAGUGCC
This 73-nucleotide transfer RNA is filed under the name Hypancistrus zebra. RNAcentral describes it as "tRNA-Thr". It matches the Rfam family "tRNA". From Rfam's summary of the family: Transfer RNA (tRNA) molecules are approximately 80 nucleotides in length. Their secondary structure includes four short double-helical elements and three loops (D, anti-codon, and T loops). Lineage: Eukaryota; Metazoa; Chordata; Actinopteri; Siluriformes; Loricariidae. The record is from RNAcentral.